This 279-nucleotide ribosomal RNA is filed under the name uncultured bacterium. Its description in RNAcentral is "partial 16S ribosomal RNA". It matches the Rfam family "Bacterial small subunit ribosomal RNA", at positions 506 to 784 of the family's 1533-position model. The record is from RNAcentral.
UGCCAGCCGCCGCGGUAAUACGAAGGGUGCUAGCGUUGUUCGGAAUUACUGGGCGUAAAGAGCAUGUAGGCGGAUGAAUUAGUCAGAGGUGAAAGCUUGCAGCUUAACUGUAAAAUUGCCUCUGAUACUGUAGUGCUUGAAUCACGUUGAGGUCGGCGGAAUGUGACAUGUAGCGGUGAAAUGCAUAGAUAUGUCAUAGAACACCAAUUGCGAAGGCAGCUGACUGGGCGUGUAUUGACGCUGAGGCACGAAAGCGUGGGUAGCGAACAGGAUUAGAUA